Long non-coding RNA from Saccostrea echinata, 388 nucleotides. RefSeq lists it as uncharacterized. The transcript is spliced from 3 exons. NCBI's taxonomy places the organism in Eukaryota, Metazoa, Mollusca, Bivalvia, Ostreida, Ostreidae. The record is from RefSeq and is a predicted model, not a curated record.
CAAUGCAUUGUGGGAGGACAAUGGCGGCGUUUAGCAGGGGUAAAGAGCUGUAAGACACAUUGAUGCAUCUGACAGCUUCCAAAGGCUUGGAAAGUAGGUUAAUGAUGCAGCUAUAGACAACCCCAUCUUAUGCAUGUUAUGAGAAGUUAAAAGUGUUUAACAACUACUCCAGGCUUUUUCUUUGCAAGAAGGGAUAUUGAUAGAGGGAAGGAGAUCAGAUAUGACUAUGGUGAUCCCAUGCCCAAUGGACAAUCUUCCUUGGAGUUCAUCACUCAUCAGGAAGCAUUUUGGAGGCAAACCCUGUUGCAGCAUUUCUACAUGUUCCACAGAUUGUACAGACUAGUCAGGACCUUGUAAAUUCUUAUGUUCAACAGCUUAGGCAAUUUAG